RNAcentral lists this ribosomal RNA (253 nucleotides) under uncultured Lysobacter sp. Its description in RNAcentral is "partial 16S ribosomal RNA". It matches the Rfam family "Bacterial small subunit ribosomal RNA", at positions 524 to 776 of the family's 1533-position model. Lineage: Bacteria; Pseudomonadati; Pseudomonadota; Gammaproteobacteria; Lysobacterales; Lysobacteraceae. The record is from RNAcentral.
GACGAAGGGUGCAAGCGUUACUCGGAAUUACUGGGCGUAAAGCGUGCGUAGGCGGUUCGUUAAGUCCGAUGUGAAAGCCCUGGGCUCAACCUGGGAACUGCAUUGGAAACUGGCGGGCUGGAGUGCGGUAGAGGGUGGCGGAAUUCCCGGUGUAGCAGUGAAAUGCGUAGAUAUCGGGAGGAACAUCCGUGGCGAAGGCGGCCACCUGGACCAGCACUGACGCUGAGGCACGAAAGCGUGGGGAGCAAACAGG